This 216-nucleotide unclassified non-coding RNA is filed under the name uncultured Hydnum. RNAcentral's name for it is "sequence contains ITS2". Lineage: Eukaryota; Fungi; Basidiomycota; Agaricomycetes; Cantharellales; Hydnaceae. The record is from RNAcentral.
GAAACUCUCAAAUCGAGGUAGUUUUUACGGCUGUCUCUGUUUGGAUUUGGACUCUGCUGCAUUAAUGUGGCUAGUCUUAAAUGUAUUAGCUGGUCCUCAUUGAGGUUUGGUUCUACUCGGCGUGAUAAUUAUCUAACGUUGAGGACAGUCUUCAGGACUGGCCAUGGCUCUCUGUCUGGAUUGCUUCUAAAUUGUCCUGGGGACAAUUCAUUCAAU